Sitodiplosis mosellana (orange wheat blossom midge) is the source of this 8710-nucleotide long non-coding RNA. RefSeq lists it as uncharacterized. The transcript is spliced from 5 exons. The record is from RefSeq and is a predicted model, not a curated record. NCBI's taxonomy places the organism in Eukaryota, Metazoa, Arthropoda, Insecta, Diptera, Cecidomyiidae.
AUUCGGUUAUUUUAAGUGGUAUAAAAAUGCCAGUUCUAAGAUAUAGGAAAAUAACAUAAGAGCCGGUUCUAAAACAAAGCAAUUUGCUGUUUUUGAAUCGGCACAAAUGUUAUUUCCUAUGUUUUCGAAUCGGCCAACGUUGAAUACCAACCAGCAGCAUCGUUGGUCAUCGUCGUCGUUGUCGUACGCGUGCCACAUAUUUUGGUGUGCGUUUGCGUGUGUUUAGUAUUAUGAACGAGGGGAGAGAUGUGAACGAACGAACGAGAGAAAGUGCAGUAUAUAUGUAUAAAAAUGCAUUACUCUUUCUCCUCUCUGUGUUAAGUUUCCCAACCUUCAGAUUGAAUAAGAUGAACAGAUGAAAGUAAUUUAACUGUAACGCGAACUUUUUUAUGCAUUUUAGUUGAUACAUUAGGAACACGCUUAGAUUUCCUAAAACUACGACGUAAUGUUCGUAGCGAAGACGCUUGCAGAUAUCAGUAAACCUAGUUUUACAAUUGGUCGCUUAUAAACUCCUGAUGUCGUCUUCAAGAUUACUGAUCUUACCAGGCCAUGAUCCCCAGGCAAUAUUUCUUGCACACCACUUAGUUUCCAUUUUAACGGCGACAAGUUUUCUUCCUUGACUAUUACUAAGUCACCCACAAUUAAAUUUUUAUUUUGCGUUAACCACUUAGAUCGAUUUAUAAAUGUAUCUAUAUAUUCCGCUUGCCAUCUUUCCCAAAAAUGCUGAAUCAUUUUUUGUAAAUGGUUCCAACGAUCUAAACGAUUUGUUGGAACUUUCCUGUAAUCCUGUUUGUUCGAAGUAUGAAUAAAACACGCAUCAGUUACCUCGUCUAUAUCCCUCUUUAGUAAUACACGAACUGAUUUUAAACUUGCUAACCGGUCGGCGAGAGAAAGUGGUUGUAGACUUUCAACUUCCUUUUUUAUUUCCUUUGCGCCAGCAGCUUCCUUGGUGGCGUCCUGUUCAGUCACCGUCAUUAUUCUCCCCUCAAGCAGUGCUUUAAUAUCAUCACGCAGUCCAGUAAUCUCUGUUUUCGUUGAUUCCCAUGUGGCAGCAGCGUGGUCCGGCACAUCGUCAAAGCUCGUCGAUUCCCAAACGGUGAUCGCGGUUUUCGCAGACUGGACCGCUUCGUCCAACUUCUUGUUCAACGCCUCGAGCGUGGCUGUAUUUAAGAAGUCCGGUGUUACUGCUUCUUUAAGCCUUUUCAGCGUAUCGAUCUCUUUGUCAGGAAUUCUAACUAAUGCUUCUCCUAUUAGAAAAUGACCCGGAGUUAAAACAUUGAGUGAAGUCGGAUCAUUAUUCAGUGCACACAAAGGUCUAGAGUUGACGCAUGCUUCCGCCUGGCACAAAACUGUAGAGAAUUCUUCAAAAGUUAGUGUCGUUUCGCCAAUUACCCUUAUAAGAUGAUGUUUCACGGAUUUAACUGCUGCUUCGUAGAUUCCUCCCUGGUGUGGAGCGCCUGGUGUAGUGAAAGUCCACUUGAAAUUGAAUUGCUCUUCCAUUUCUCCUGAUUUUUGUUCGAGCUGCUCUACAAUUGAUCGCAAGUAAUUAUUUCCUCCAACAAAAUUGGUACCAUUAUUCGAAAUGAUUCUUUUAACUGGAUGAAUACCGGGAAGAUGAAAUUUUCAGCAACUGUUUAAUAAAAAAAUACGAGACUUCUCUUGCUAAAUCUUGGAUUAUAUAAAGAUUGAAAAAUCGAAGAAUAAAUUCUUCUUACGAAUUCCUGUUCCCAUUGAUAUAUGCGCCAUGUUCAAUCAGAAAUUUAACAAUUUCCACAGAAUCUUAUUGGUGCAAUGUCUAACUGUGCUAUAAUCUAAAAAAUUAAAACGUGUAUCAUUUCUCAUCAUUAGUUAAAUGUACAUUAUUUAUGCAAAGGAGCUGUAAUACUCCUGUUCUGAUGAUUAUUUCUUUUCCGUUAACAAUGUUCAGAUUAACAUCACACAAAACGAUUAAAAUAUUAAAACAAACCGCAAUAUUUCCAAAGUUAAGUAUCUCAUAAAUGCUUCAACUUCGGAAAUAUUCAUAAAUAAGAAAAGUAGUAUAGAAUUAGCGUUUAUUCGGGAACCAGUUUUUUUGACCUCCCCAAAUAACCACUAAAUCUCAAUUAUCGUAAUUAUCUGUCAUAAGAGAGAGUGUAUGCGUUGUGGCGACUAAACUUUCCUACUCCAAAUCACCACUGUCCUACUCCAAAGUAACAUAGAGAUAAAGUAGGAAGAGAGAUAUUUAUCGGUAACGUAUAUAAGGAUAUGGUAUUAUUGUAUAAUUGUCUUCUCAACAAUAAUGAUCUAUAUUAUGAUAUGUUAAUGACACUUGUAUGCAUGCAAAAAGCGACGGUUACGAUUGCAUACAUUCAUUGCUAGAGAUUAUCGAAUGCGAACGAAAGAAAAAAGUAACAGAGAACGACAAAACAAUUGCGUGCCAAUGCACGGUAAUGGUAAAACGAUCGAUUGCAUGCAUUCUUUGCUUCGAAUGCGAUCGAAAGAAAGAAAGAAAGAAAAAAGGGAUGUUACAUCGAUGAAUACAUUCACAUUGCUUGUUACUAGAGAUGAAAUGUGCUCGUUAUUCACGUUGUUUGAAAUGUGAUUGCAUGAAAUGUUAUAUUGAAAUAUAUAAUUACAGUCACAUUUGAAGAAUAAGCAGAAGGCGAAACAGGAAAGCAGAGCGAAACCGAUGAGCAGUAUUAGGAUUUUGAUUUUGUUCUUUACGAUCGUCAUGAACAUUCUACCGAACCAUUUACCAACGUUGACACAAAACGAUGCAGGUUCCGCAUCUUCGCAGUGGAAAUAUAUUGAAACGCUGCUGCUGUCACUAUCCUCAUGAGUCUCCUCCUCCUGUUGUUGGGGUUUAAGACACGUUAUUUUUUGCAACUAUACACUUACACGUACGCACUUGCAAAUAAUCUUAUGCCAAAAUCACGCAUUUUCUUAAUGAAAGAAAUGUAUCUCUCUGAAUUCUGUGGUAUUAUCGUUAUUUCGCCUGGGGCUUCCUUGCUAGUUGCAAGUUUUUUAAUGAGUAAAUGUGAAUCAUAUCCGGAUAAAUUAUGCAUUACAACUGGAAUGGUUCGACUAAUUUGAUAUUGUAAAUUGCAUGAUUGAUGUGCGGCUCCUCUAUAGAGACCUGAUAUAUGACAAUAAUCUCUGACUCAAAUAUCCGAUUGUUCAUGAACAUCCCGAUCAAGGAAACUUUUUUUGCAUAUAUGACAAUUUGAUAUUCUAAAAUUCUUAUAAAUAUCUUUCUUCUUCUUCGGUCAAAGGAUUCAUCGGUUUUUUAUCCUCAAAAAAGUCAAAGACUUUAAUUGCAAUUUUUGUCAAUUCACUCAUAAACCAAUCAACGCAGUUUACUCCACGAUAACUCGCAUAGUAUGAUUUUGAUUCAUUGUUUUCAUAUUUGAAAUAAUAUCCAAUACUAUGUACUUCAUGAUGUUGAUGAGCGUGUGUUGAACAAUUGAUGUUAAAGACAGGCGUUUCAGGGUCCUUCAACAAAGCUUCAUUGUCUGCAUAUAUGAUGAAAGGUAUUUUAAGUUCAUUUUUGUAAUUUUUGAACGAUUCAAAGUUCUUUCCAACACUCGGCAUUUCAAUUGCACAUUCGUUCAUACUUUCAAAUGUUAUUUUAUGUUUUUUUAAUUUCUCAUGUGAAUUGAAAUGGAUCAAACAACGGUCGCAUAUCCAUUUUUUAUGCUCAUAUUUGCUCAUCUGCGAUCCCACUAGUUUACCCAAAUUUUUUUAUCCAGCAGUAAUGUGAAUGUGUACCUGCUUCAUGUACCUCUUUGCUGUGUGCGGGUGUUGCUUCUGUAAGCAUGAGCAAAUGAAUGUAAUGUUUUUCAAUCGGUUUCACAGCUAGAAAGCGAGGGCAUACACAUUUUUUUUCCGAAUCGAAAUAGUACACAUUAAUAGCAAUGUGCUCAUUCUGCUGCAUAAAUUUCUCAAUUUGAUUGAGUCGCACUGGGAAGUCGAUUCCGUUGAAAUUCAGUUCAUUUGCCCAGAAACGAUAACUUGCAGCAUCAUUCACUUUUUUCGGAUCUUCAGCAUACAUUUCAUUAUGAUGUAAAGCUGCUAAAAUUGACCAUUUGAAGCAUAAAUCGUAUGUAUUUUUCAAAUUCACGAUCGCUCUCUUGUUUUUCUAACAUUUUCGGUAGCUCAAUAAAUCCCGAACCUCGCAAUGGCUCAUAUUUAAACAUCUGUACACGCUAAUAACCGCUAAUUCUAUACUACUGAUGGGUUGUCGCCCUUCUUUGAAGUGGGCCAAAUAUUUUGGCCUCUUAGACAUGGGAAGAGCCUUCCAAAAUGCGACAUUUUGCGCCGUGCCGAACUGGGCUAUUUCGCGAUCGCUGGUGGACAGAGCUGGUGGAUCGCUGGUGUAAUUCAUGCUAUAAUGUAAGAAUGUAAGAGAAAGAUAAACACGAGUUGUUUUGUUGAGAGUUAAGUCAAGAGUGUCCUGCCUUUAUUCAUAUUCAUACAUUGUUAACUCGUAUGCACUCACGCACGCGGCUAGCGGCGCGUUCAUGCGCUACACUUCCCUUCUUUCUGAAGAAAGAAAAGUGUAUUACAAUAUGUUAGCGUUUUACAAUUUUCUAUCUCAUUUUUUCCCUUCACCGUUUUUAUUUUUUUUAAUCAUUUAUUUGACAUGUUUUUAAGUGCUAUUAUCUGUGCCAUUCUUGUUUAGUUUCUUGUGUUCGCCUCGACUCAUUUUAUUUUGUAUUUAUUGUUUAUGCAUUUUUUUCACAAAUUUGAAUUCUUUGUGUCUUUUCUUAUUUGUAUUUCGCUGUGUAUAACAUUGUGAUUCAAUCUAUUGACGCUAACAAAUAAAUUCAAUGAAUUUUUUUCAAUUAUUGCUGUUUUAAUUUUGUUUUUUUUUGCAUUUAUUCAAAGCAUCAAAUAUUUUCUAUUGGCGAAAUUUAUUAAAUUCUAUUCAAUUGCAUUCACUUAUGCGAUCGCAAUGGCCAUCUCUUAUCAAUACACAGUAAGAAAUAGUAGCAAUCAUUUCAUAAUAUUAACACAGCUACGAUACACAACCACCAAAUCGACACUUGUUGAAUAAUUUUCUGUUUCAAUCCUCUCUUUUAUCAAGUUUGCCCAAUCGUUUGCGCGAACUGCUUUUAAUGCGCAACAGAAACCAUAUCUGGUUAACUCUUCCAUAUCCUCGAUAAAAACUGCAAAGCUAUGACGUGGAAAUCCCCAGUAGUCCGAAUCGUAGUCAGAGCCGAAGUAGUCCGAAUCGUAGUCAGAGCUGUGAUCACUCAUAAUGCUGCCAAAUAAUUUUUUUUAACUGCUCUCGUCAAAUGAAUAAUAACUUAGCUGAAAUAAAUUUUGAAUUAAAAAUUCCAAAUCUUUUCAUUUCGGCUCAUUCAAUUUUCAAUGAUAACACGAAGUUUGGCGUGAUAAACGCCGGCUGUUAUCAUUUAAACUGGAUGAAUACCGGGAAGAUGAAAUUUUCAGCAACUGUUUAAUAAAAAUACGAGACUUCUCUUGCUAAAUCUUGGAUUGUAUAAAGAUUGAAAAAUCGAAGAAUAAAUUCUUCUUACGAAUUCCCGUUCCCAUUGAUGCGCCAUGUUCAAUCAGAAAUUUAACAAUUUCCACAGAAUCUUAUUGGUCCUCGUCAUCGCUUGAAAUAUAUAUUUCCUCCAGUUGCUGUAACUUGCUUGAAACACCAGGCACUGGUAGAUUUAUUUCCUGCUCUUGUUUCACUGGUGAUUCCGCGAAAAUUUUCGCGGGUUUUGGCAUAAUACCCGCGCCAGAAAUUGUGUUUUGAAAGAAAUUUCGGGCGGUCAUUCUUGUUUAUUUCUUGGUAUUUUUGCUCGAAGUCGUUUUUCAAUAGUGACCACUGCUGUGCAGCAAUUUCGCUCGCCUGUUCCGAACACUCUGGUUUACCUUUUGUAAAUUGCUCUAAUUCCCGCAAAUUUUUAAAGAAUUCCGCUCUUUGCGUUUCGAACUCGUUUGAGAUACUCAUUGUAUUUUAAAAAUUGAAACGUGUAUCAUUUCUUAUCAAUAGUAAAAUGUACAUUAUUCAUGCAAAGGAGCUGUAAUACAACAAAACAAUGUUCAGAUUAACAUCACACAAACGAUUAAAAUAUUAAAACAAACCGCAAUAUUUCCAAAGUUAAGUAUCUCAUAAAUGCUUCAACUUCGGAAAUAUUCAUAAAUAAGAAAAUAAAAUGCAUUACUUUUAUCGUGAGACAUACGUAACUAUUAAUACAUAGGAAUUGUACAUACACUGUAUAAUCAAUUUUAAAACAUGUUGCUUACACUAAGAAAUUCUAUUUUAUCGAGUCUUACUCUUUUUUUUUCUUCAAAAAGUCAAAUUUUUUUUUGUUAAAAACUAUUUGCUCAGUCUAUGAAACAAACCAAUUUGAUUAAUUGUUAAGGUAUGCUUUCGGCUUAUAGAAAAAUAGCCAUUUUCUGUAAAAGGCAAUCAACACACUCACUCUUUGAUUGAUAUUCAGAAGAGAAUAAAUUGAGAAUAAAAAUGUAAGAAAAAGUCAGGAAAAAAAUGAUAGAAAAUUGCCAUCGACGAUCAUUAGUGUCGAAAUUUGUGAGGUUGUGUGUUCUUUUUUUUUAAAUUGGUUGUCAUUGCAAUGGAAUGCCAACACAAUAAAAUCAAAAAUCGCAUGUCUGUAUAAUAUUAAACGCAUUCAAUAUAACGCGACACUAGCAAUCGUCGAUAGGUAUUGUAUCAAUCAUUAGUUAAGAGCAUAAAUUUAAGAAAAGCGAACACGCAGCAGAGAUCUUCACAUGUUAAAAGCAACUUAGCGGCAUAGCAUGGAACGGCACAUCUUUUGGUGUUCAGUUUGGUCAAAAUAACAGAGCUAAAAGAUUUGACCACGUCGGAAAUACAUCACUCAGCGAAUGGCACCUAAAAUAUUGUUCUUCGCUUUGUAUCAACACAAAAAUUAGCAAAACUUCGGAAAAAUACUAGAAAAUAGAGAAGGCGCUUUGGUUCACAACAUCUUUUGAACGAUGAGUCCCAUUUAAGUCUUCAAUCGAACAAUAGUUUAUUAACAACGCAAAAAUGCCCCAAGAACAAACAUCCCAUGAUGACCAAAUAUUAAUAAAAAUCCCAUGAUUGCCUUUGAUAUGACUCGACUCAGAAAUUUCCUGGAGAAAUAAUCACAAACAAAAAAAUGCUAUGUGUUCCUGGGUCCCUUGCGACCAUAAUACGUAAAUUUGGUCAAGUCGUCGAUAGGACAUUCGAAUUGUACGCGUACAAAUUAUGUGCGUAUUGUCAUCGAUGUCUAGAAGUACUCUGAUGAUGUGUACGAGUUAAGAAACAACACAAAUUCAGCCAAUCAACAUACUGUUCCUUUGGACAUAUCGCGAAUAUCCUGUACCACUCUUUAUAUCACUUCAAAUUUGAUCCAGAAUCUGGAUGCCAGAUUUCAAGCCGAAUGAUACUAAACCGAUCCAAACCGACUGAGAAAGGAAAUGAACAAGAAAGACAUGGUUUGGAUUGAAUUUGCAACGAUUCAGAUGAAUUGUUUGCAAACGUGCAGAAGACGUCACAACGAUUAGAUGCAUCAGACUAUCAUGCACUAAUGUGACAGUCUACACUUUGCUGUUUUAUCAUCGAUUUGAUGAAAGCGCCUCAAUUUAUAACCUUCUUCAGAAAUAAUCAAUCGAAGACAGGUAGAUGAGACAAGGGAUUCCCGACAGAAAACUGAACACUAUUUCAUUAAUUGAUGGAAGCCGCUAAUUCAUUUUCCUUGCCAAAACAACGACGUGCGAUUUAAUGAACCAAAAGCUACAAACACCUGAAGUGCUCGACCAUCGGCUGUAAUUUCUCUUCAAAUUAGUAGUUUCAGAAGUUGAAAUAAAAACUUAAAUAAUUUUAUAAUGAAUUAAAUUUUUGUUCAGAUUUUUCAAUUUAGGGUUUUUGUUCUCGAAAAAAAAGAAUCAAUUGUAUGAAGAAUUUGAAAAAUCUGAACAAUGUCUCGAUGUGUGAACAAACAAUAGAAUUAUCUCAAAUAAGGCAAAAUUAAGUCAAUGGAAUGACACUAUAAAAUCCAUUGCUAAAUAAAAAAUUCAACUGAUUAUUACUUUCAAUUCAGACAAAACCACCUGCUUAUUGUCAGAUUUUGAACAAUUGUAGAGCGUCAUCAAUAAUAGACGGCAAAAUCAUCUGUAAAUAGCCGUAAAUGAUUUCGAUCAUUCGACAUAUUGUGAAAUGUUGCGAAAGCACACCAAUCAGUACUGAAUUUUGUCAUCAUUUAUGGACGGCGCUCUACAAUUUCACACUUUGUAUUUUGUAUGUAUUCAAUACAAGAUUAUAUGCGUGUGGACAAACCAAUAAAGCUACUAUUUCCAAGCCGAACGAUCGCAAUUAUUAUAAUCGGUUACAAUCUUCUAAAAGAAUGGCCAAUGGCCAUGGAUCACGUUUUCUUGAAAAUAGUACUUUUCCAUAGAAAUCAGAUAGAGUUAAAGAUAGCAAAAUAUUAACAUAAAAUGUAUAAGUAUAUUAGAAUAUAAGAGAAAAGAUAAGAAGGACAAUUACAUUCUCAAACAAUGAAUGGUUGAAUGAAAAUUGUCAAUUGCCACACUCUUGAGCAUAGAGCUAAUUGGACCGAGAAAAAACUAUCGGCAAAUAUAAUUCUUAAGAGAUGUUAAUAAUAUGAUCGGGCUCAAGUUGAGAAAAAUGAAAAAAAAAAUUACAUUUUGUUGAAUGUUCAUUGUAAGAUGAUUGACUUUUGUAAAUAAAGACUGAGAUUUUUCAUUUUACGAA